AAAAGUCAAACAGUUUAAGGAUUGGAUGAUUUUAAGCUUGGAGUUUAGAGACUGACUGACUUUGAGAAGGUUACUGAAUCCAGGAAGUUGCUGAUUGGCUUUCUGAUGACUAUUGAGGAAAGGUUGUAUGAGGGUAUGGCAGAGAUUAAUUCUUCUCAGUUAUCUAGUUCCUCCUCCUUUCAUUCUAGAAUUAGAACCCCUAUGGUUUAGCUGGCAGCAUGGUUACCCACUCUAGGUUUCAUCUGCUUCUGAUGAUAGGUAUGACUGUAUGCUUACGUUUGAGCCAGUUAUAUAUGAACAGAAGUGAAAUAUGCAAUUCUGGAUUGGCUUUUAAUGGUGCUUGUCCUGGAUUUCAUCUGCCCAUUCUCUUUCCUCUCCCAUUGACUGGAAAGCAGCAAACAGGAAUGGCAACAACUGUCUUGAACUCAAAUAGAAGCCCUGUCCUGAGGAUAUCAGCCCUGGAUGACCUUGUGGAGAAAACUAACUACUACUUGCUCUCCCCCCAGCCACCUGGGUAUCUCCAUGUUGUUUCAUGAAAGAGAAUACAUUUUUUGUUUGUUUGAGCCAUUGUAUUUUGGUAUCACUUUAUUACAACUGUUUAACCCAUACCCUAUAAAAUGCCAAAAUUUAGUACCUGAAAUGGGGUACUGCAUAAUAAAAAGCUGAAAUGCAUGGCAUUGGCUAAGUGGUUGGCUGACAUACAUUUAAAAAAAAAAAGUCAAAAAACCACUGACCCUUAAUUGUAUAGUGGUAAAAUAUUUGGUGAAACUGUCACCUCUGAUAAUUUUUAUAAGGCAUCAAUUUCUCUAUCCAGUCUACAUCUCCAGGGAAGUGGUUAGAAAGAAUCAGAUUGCUAAUACCAGUAGAGUCUGCUUGCUUCUUUAGCGGGAACUAUAAGGGGGCAUCAAAUAAAGGUGUUGAGAGCCACAGCUGAGUCAGAAUGACGCCUGGCAUAUUGCCAGAGGGAAUGGUUGAAAAGUGAUGCCAGCAACCAUUGAGAUGAUGAUUUGAGUUAAGCUGUAUAUAAUUGCUGUGAUGCUGGAUUGAUUGAGUUGUAUACGACUCUGGGAAUCUGAAUCUGAAUCUACUUUGGAGUUUCCCAUGGAGUUCUCCCCGGGGUUUGCAGAGAUUGGGCGCGGGGAGCCAGGUGAAAGGGGUGUGUUCCCGAGGAGUGUGUGUGCAGUGCCAGUGAGAGUUGGGGAAUAAAGAAUUGCUGUUUGAACCUACAACGCUUUGUGGCGGCUCGGUUAUUUGUGCCCAGCCAGACUGCGGUAUAAAGGGCCAGUUAGUUUGUAUUUAGAGUUCAAAG
RNAcentral lists this long non-coding RNA (1309 nucleotides) under Marmota monax (woodchuck). Lineage: Eukaryota; Metazoa; Chordata; Mammalia; Rodentia; Sciuridae. The record is from RNAcentral.